UCUCUUGGUUCUGGCAUCGAUGAAGAACGCAGCGAAAUGCGAUAAGUAAUGUGAAUUGCAGAAUUCAGUGAAUCAUCGAAUCUUUGAACGCACAUUGCGCCCUUUGGUAUUCCGAAGGGCAUGCCUGUUCGAGCGUCAUUUCACCAC
RNAcentral lists this ribosomal RNA (147 nucleotides) under Septoria sp. TCM-1. RNAcentral's name for it is "5.8S ribosomal RNA". It matches the Rfam family "5.8S ribosomal RNA", at positions 17 to 154 of the family's 154-position model. From Rfam's summary of the family: 5.8S ribosomal RNA (5.8S rRNA) is a component of the large subunit of the eukaryotic ribosome. It is transcribed by RNA polymerase I as part of the 45S precursor that also contains 18S and 28S rRNA. Functionally, it is thought that 5.8S rRNA may be involved in ribosome translocation. Lineage: Eukaryota; Fungi; Ascomycota; Dothideomycetes; Mycosphaerellales; Mycosphaerellaceae. The record is from RNAcentral.